Molecule: non-coding RNA, 121 nt
Organism: Glycine soja
Lineage: Eukaryota; Viridiplantae; Streptophyta; Magnoliopsida; Fabales; Fabaceae
Source: Rfam
UUCUGAUUAGACGAUGACCGUUACGUGUCACGUUCUAGUUGAAUGUUGACUCUAUGGAUGAUAAAAAUGUAUUAUUGUUGUCAUCAUCCAAUCAGAACGUGGCACGUGAUAGUCAUCAUCA